GAUGAACGCUGGCGGCGUGCCUAAUACAUGCAAGUCGAGCGAACAGACGAGGAGCUUGCUCCUCUGACGUUAGCGGCGGACGGGUGAGUAACACGUGGAUAACCUACCUAUAAGACUGGGAUAACUUCGGGAAACCGGAGCUAAUACCGGAUAAUAUAUUGAACCGCAUGGUUCAAUAGUGAAAGACGGUUUUGCUGUCACUUAUAGAUGGAUCCGCGCCGCAUUAGCUAGUUGGUAAGGUAACGGCUUACCAAGGCAACGAUGCGUAGCCGACCUGAGAGGGUGAUCGGCCACCCGGGAAGUGAGACACGGUCCCGACUCCUACGGGAGGAAGCAGUAGGGAAUCUUACGCAAUGGGGGAAAGGCUGACGGAGCAAAGCCGCGUGAGUGAUGAAGGUCUUAGGAUCGGAAAACGCUGUUAGUAGGGAAGAACAAAUGUGUAAGUAGCUAUGAACGUCUUGACGGUACCUGAACAGAAAGCCACGGCUAACUCCGUG
This 497-nucleotide ribosomal RNA is filed under the name uncultured bacterium. Its description in RNAcentral is "partial 16S ribosomal RNA". It matches the Rfam family "Bacterial small subunit ribosomal RNA", at positions 28 to 507 of the family's 1533-position model. The record is from RNAcentral.